CCUACGGGAGGCAGCAGUGAGGAAUAUUGGUCAAUGGACGAGAGCCUGAACCAGCCAAGCCGCGUGAAGGAAGAAGGCUCUAUGGUUUGUAAACUUCUUUUAUACGGGAGUAAAGGGAGGAACGCGUUACUGUUUGUAAGUACCAUAUGAAUAAGCAUCGGCUAACUCCGUGCCAGCAGCCGCGGUAAUACGGAGGAUGCGAGCGUUAUCCGGAUUUAUUGGGUUUAAAGGGUGCGUAGGCGGUCAAUUAAGUUAGAGGUGAAAUCCUGCGGCUCAACCAUAGAAUUGCCUUUGAAACUGUUCUGCUUGAGUAUAGUUGAGGUAGGCGGAAUGUGUGGUGUAGCGGUGAAAUGCUUAGAUAUCACAUAGAACACCGAUAGCGAAGGCAGCUUACCAGACUGCGACUGACGUUGAGGCACGAAAGCGUGGGUAGCAAACAGGAUUAGAUACCCUGGUAGUC
RNAcentral lists this ribosomal RNA (460 nucleotides) under uncultured bacterium. RNAcentral's name for it is "partial 16S ribosomal RNA". It matches the Rfam family "Bacterial small subunit ribosomal RNA", at positions 338 to 795 of the family's 1533-position model. The record is from RNAcentral.